This is a long non-coding RNA of Planococcus citri (citrus mealybug), 1904 nucleotides long. RefSeq lists it as uncharacterized. The record is from RefSeq and is a predicted model, not a curated record. Lineage: Eukaryota; Metazoa; Arthropoda; Insecta; Hemiptera; Pseudococcidae. The transcript is spliced from 3 exons.
UUUAAUAAAUCUUUCCACAUUUGGUUGGUAAAUUGUGUAGCAUUAUCGGUUAGAACACGACGAACAGAUACUUUGUGUUCAUUUAUCUGUUUCAGUACGAAUUCCAUUGAUUCGCAUACAGUUUCUUGGAGAAUAUUUUCCAUUGGACGAAGCCAAACUCUACCGGAAAACAUAUCUUUGGCCACUAAAAGAUAUCUCGCCUCAUCUGACUCAUUAGCGAUUGGACCAAGAUUUGUUAGCUUUACACUGAAUACAUGCCCCGGUGAUGAAUCUCGCGUAAUGUUCGAUAUUCGGCGAAUAAUAUAUACGAUGGAAAAUCACAGCAAGUUUUUUAGAACCUACGUGACCGAAUACUUCAUGAAUAUAGAGCAUAGUAUCCCGAAACAGCGAAUCAGGAAUUACAGAUCGAAGAAGUAUAUCAUCCACGUAUUUGCUAAUUCCAUCGUCAUCGGGGAUGACUUUAUUUACAAGAUUAACAAAUUCGGCUGACGAGAUUUUUAAGCCGUACGGGAGACGUGUAAAAUGAUAAACGCGACCAUCUACUUGGAAAGCACAAUACUUUCGACAACUUUCAUCCAACACGAGUUGCCAGAACCCUGAAACAAAGUCCAAGGAACUGAAAAAUCUCGCGUCAGGAUCAUCAGUAAUUAUUCGGUCUAAGAGACCUGCUUCGUUGUAAUUCACUUCUAAGAUGGGAUUCAAAUCUACGGGAUUAAUGCAGAUUCGAAGUUCACCGGUUUUCUUCAAGUUCGCAACGAUUGGAUUUAUAUAACGUGAGUUUGAAGGCUCGAUUAUGCCAAGUGCUAACAUGAUUAAUAAUUCUUGUCUAAUACGAUCCAUUAAUGAUUUUGCAGGAUUGUAUUUUGCACCACGGUAUUCAAUUUCCUCAAGAGGAAUAUUGAAUUCAAACUUCACCUUUUCUCCAACGUAACGGCCUGGGAAACGACUAAAUAUAUCUUUGAAUUGAGAAAGUACAGCGAAUGCAUAAUCACACUCAGCUUGAGUAAUUUGCUUCUUUUCAACGGCGAGUUUGAGAUCUUCCUGUAAUCGUUGGAUGAAAACAGUUGGACCAUCAUCUUCAAUACCUUCGGGUAGUCGUCGGUAUUUACGAGCUAAAUUUGCACGAUUGAGAAUUUUUGCAACUUCAGGCUCAAGUGAGAUAUCGAGUCUAAUUUUAUUAAUUAUUAGCGAGUCUUCGUAUUCGUGUGGUUUUAAAUACCUUAACAUCUCCUUAGAGUGUUCUGACGUAGGUUGACAAUAUGCCACGCGCUCACUAAUUUCAGGUUUGAUUUUUAAUAGAUCCAUAGUUCGAGUACCAAUAAUAAACGUUUGAUUACAACCGGGUAAAACGUAAAAUGGGAUUUUCAGUUCGUGUUUUCCAAAUUUCAAUUUUGGAACGAUUACGUAAUCAGCGGUUUGUAUUUCUUUAUCAUCAGCUAAUGUACAAUGGACCGGAUUGUCCAAAUUAAUAUAAUCUAUUUCAUCUGCGUGUUUUUUCCGCAGGAGAUUAGCUGUUUCUUCAGAAAUUACAUUGGGUACCGCACCGGAAUCUAACUGGGUUGGAUAAAAUGAUUCACCUAAGCCGAGUGAAACAACACAAGUAAUUAUUUCUUCUGGUGGAUACGUUAAUUGAUUUUGAACUAAUGGAUCCGCGUGUUUUUUAUUAUAAACCUGUUUCGACGCUUUCACUUGAUGAACUCUCAGCUUCUCAUACGAAUCUUGACCAGGGCGUUCGUUGAUAGGUGGUUCACACAUUAGCUUACCGACAGAAAUUUUAUCGCGAAGAGUAGUACGUCGAUCAGGUAGUUCGGAAAAAUGUGUUACAAUACCAGCGAUUUCUCGCUUAGUACUCACGUGUGGAUAAUAAUUUGUACCUUCUUUUGAUAGGUAGAAUUUGGACAAAA